Hyla sarda is the source of this 518-nucleotide long non-coding RNA. RefSeq lists it as uncharacterized. The record is from RefSeq and is a predicted model, not a curated record. Lineage: Eukaryota; Metazoa; Chordata; Amphibia; Anura; Hylidae. The transcript is spliced from 4 exons.
CGCUGCGCUGGAUGGAGGAUGACAAUGUGCUGACAUAGUGAGGAGACGUCUGGGCGUCACAUUCUGCAGAGAGAAGUUUUAGCUGGAACAAGUCAUGGCGUGAGGGGUCGGUGCUGGACACUGUAGGGAACGGGAAUGCGAAGUUGAAUACAUCACUGUGAUUGAUGCACUAUUUCCAGGAUGUGGAGUAGCAUUUCCGGACUAUCAAGACGUUGUAAUAAGGCACAUAUUUCCGGACUUACAGCAAGAAGUUGGAUGAAGGCAUAAACCCUCGAAUCACGCACAUACACAGACACAUUUGUCCAAAUUAUAGAGGUAACCUCCUUUAGUAUGCCCAGAGGAAGGGCAAUACAGUAGCCAUGGAUUCCCUACAGGUUUCCUCCCCUCUGGAGGUUUUUCCUGUCCUGAGUUAGUUACUGUACGCUCUUUGUGAGUGAUGGAAGGUUACAAAAAUCCCUACACAAACAUUUUAAUAAAUAAUAAAGUUCCCCUGUUAUUAAACCAUUCUUUGACUUGUU